RNAcentral lists this ribosomal RNA (455 nucleotides) under uncultured organism. Its description in RNAcentral is "partial 16S ribosomal RNA". It matches the Rfam family "Bacterial small subunit ribosomal RNA", at positions 329 to 800 of the family's 1533-position model. The record is from RNAcentral.
ACGUACACUCCUACGGGAGGCAGCAGUGGGGAAUAUUGGACAAUGGGCGCAAGCCUGAUCCAGCCAUGCCGCGUGAGUGAUGAAGGCCCUAGGGUUGUAAAGCUCUUUCACCGGUGAAGAUAAUGACGGUAACCGGAGAAGAAGCCCCGGCUAACUUCGUGCCAGCAGCCGCGGUAAUACGAAGGGGGCUAGCGUUGUUCGGAUUUACUGGGCGUAAAGCGCACGUAGGCGGACUAUUAAGUCAGGGGUGAAAUCCCGGGGCUCAACCCCGGAACUGCCUUUGAUACUGGUAGUCUUGAGUUCGAGAGAGGUGAGUGGAAUUCCGAGUGCAGAGGUGAAAUUCGUAGAUAUUCGGAGGAACACCAGUGGCGAAGGCGGCUCACUGGCUCGAUACUGACGCUGAGGUGCGAAAGCGUGGGGAGCAAACAGGAUUAGAAACCCUGGUAGUCCCAUGA